This 201-nucleotide unclassified non-coding RNA is filed under the name Hevea brasiliensis (rubber tree). Lineage: Eukaryota; Viridiplantae; Streptophyta; Magnoliopsida; Malpighiales; Euphorbiaceae. The record is from RNAcentral.
AAAAAUAAAAUAAAAAUAGACGAGGGAAAAGUUUCCUUCAAAGAGGAAAAGGAUUCCCUUGUAGCAAGCAUUGGUAUUUGAAAAGCCACCGGUGCAACACAUCUUCCCGGCAGACAAACACGAUUGGAGGGUGAAAUUCAGAUUAAAAUAUUUAGAAACUGAAAAUGUGGAUUAAAAGUAAUACGAAUGGCACCUUUAAGA